GAGAGUUAAACAGUACGUGAAAUUGUUGAAAGGGAAACGAUUGAAGUCAGUCAUACCAACGGGAAAUCAACCUCUUGAGUUUGGUCUCGUGGGUUUCGAAGAGUUUUAAAAGCCUUCGGAUUUUCGAGAUUGGGCUCUUCUGGUGUACUUUUUCGCGUGGCAGGUUAGCAUCAACUUUGAUGGUUGUAAAAUGGUGGUCGGAAGGUGACUCUUUUUUGAGUGUUAUAGCCGGCUGCAGAUGCAACGAUCGGGGUUGAGGUUUGCGGCAAAUGCCUUUGGGCUACUUACCUUCCUUCUGAUCUGUUCACUUUGAAAUGACAGCUUGCUGACAUUUUAGGGGGCGUUCAAUCAAUAGGGUAGAGUAGGAUAAAUUUGCCAAGGAUGCUGACGUAAUGACCUUAAACGA
RNAcentral lists this ribosomal RNA (406 nucleotides) under uncultured Archaeospora. Its description in RNAcentral is "partial 28S ribosomal RNA". The record is from RNAcentral. Lineage: Eukaryota; Fungi; Glomeromycota; Glomeromycetes; Archaeosporales; Archaeosporaceae.